CGGGUAGACAGGGAGACAGGUGGUGCAUGGUUGUCGUCAGCUCGUGUCGUGAGAUGUUGGGUUAAGUCCCGCAACGAGCGCAACCCUUACGGUUAGUUGCCAGCGGUUAAAGCCGGGCACUCUAGCUGAACUGCCGUUGACAAAACGGAGGAAGGUGGGGAUGACGUCAAAUCAUCAUGCCCUUUAUAUCCUGGGGCUACACACGUGCUACAAUGGCCUGUACAGAGGGCAGCGAAGGGGCAACCUGGGAGCGAAUCCCAAAAAGCAGGUCUCAGUUCGGAUUGCAGGCUGCAACUCGCCUGCAUGAAGUCGGAAUCGCUAGUAAUCGCAGGUCAGCAUACUGCGGUGAGUACGUUCCCGGGCCUU
RNAcentral lists this ribosomal RNA (366 nucleotides) under uncultured Desulfotomaculum sp. Its description in RNAcentral is "bacterial SSU rRNA". It matches the Rfam family "Bacterial small subunit ribosomal RNA", at positions 1019 to 1382 of the family's 1533-position model. The record is from RNAcentral. Lineage: Bacteria; Bacillati; Bacillota; Clostridia; Eubacteriales; Desulfotomaculaceae.